This 288-nucleotide long non-coding RNA is filed under the name Elaeis guineensis (African oil palm). RNAcentral's name for it is "long non-coding RNA (EGUI_LNC066316)". The record is from RNAcentral. Lineage: Eukaryota; Viridiplantae; Streptophyta; Magnoliopsida; Arecales; Arecaceae.
CUGUUGGGAUUCGUGAGUUAUGGGGCAUGCAUGUGUGUUUUAAAAUUUUAUUUUUUAAAUACCAUAGUAGAAUAUAAGAUUAAAAUAUUUUUAAUCUGAAUCAUGCAUGCAUAAAAAUAUAAAACCAUAAAGAUCUAGUUCAUAUGCUGAAAUUGUAUAUAUACUAAAAUUCAGAUUGUAAUCAAAUCGCAUAUCUGUUUCACAAUCUCUUUCUUCAAAUAUAGAUCUGAAAGAGAAGAGAUUUUCUUCUAGCUACACAAGUAUUCGACCUCUAUGGGUAUCCACUCA